AUGAGAACUUGCCCUUGCGGGUAGAUCUCCCACCCUUUGUUUGUCGUACCUUUGUUGCUUUGUCGGGCCCGUCUCUCGGGACCGCCGGCUCCGGCUGGCCAGCGCCCGGCAGAGGAUUCAAACUCUUGUAUCACUGUCGUCAGAGUAUUAUUUAAUAGUUA
This 161-nucleotide unclassified non-coding RNA is filed under the name uncultured fungus. RNAcentral's name for it is "sequence contains ITS1, 5.8S rRNA gene". The record is from RNAcentral. RNAcentral also lists the same sequence under 1 other name. Lineage: Eukaryota; Fungi.